Molecule: long non-coding RNA, 613 nt
Organism: Dipodomys ordii (Ord's kangaroo rat)
Lineage: Eukaryota; Metazoa; Chordata; Mammalia; Rodentia; Heteromyidae
Exons: 4
Source: RefSeq, a predicted model, not a curated record
UCUCAAAUUCGUGUUGUGCUGGUGAACUCAUCCCGGGUCCAGCAUGACGAUCCGACACCAAGGCCAGCAGUACAGGCCGAGGAUGGCAUUUCUCCCAAAGUGGAAAAGACAAAGCAAUCUGGAAUGGUCUCUAGCACUUUCCACAAGAACUCUACUUAAGUUACACCAAGUAUUUACAUGUCUGCUGUGGGCUGAAUCAUGUCCUAUUCAUAGAUGGAAAUCCCAACUCCCAGCUGAUUAAAAUGAAGAAGAGCCCAGAAGACCCCACAGGUACACAGACCAAGAGGAGACCAUGUGAGAAGACAGUAAGGUUGCCUGCUUGUGCCAAGGAGACAGUCCUCGAAAGAAACCAAACUGUUGACACCUUCAUCUUGAACUUCUAACAAUGAGGGUAUCGUGACCCACUUCUACACAGUGCCAACUGGCAUCCUUCUUCCAAGUCCCUUUUCUACACAUUCCUUUGCAAUUCCUCCUCGUCUGACCCAAGUCACCGCCUGUCCGGUUCACAAAUAAUAAAGUGCAUCAUAUAUGUCUGUUACUUUCUUUCUGGCGCUGUUACAGAAGCUUGAACUCGGGGCCUGAGCGCUGUCGCUGAGCUUUUCUGCGCAAGGCU